This 487-nucleotide ribosomal RNA is filed under the name uncultured bacterium. Its description in RNAcentral is "bacterial SSU rRNA". It matches the Rfam family "Bacterial small subunit ribosomal RNA", at positions 28 to 507 of the family's 1533-position model. The record is from RNAcentral.
GAUGAACGCUAGCGGGAGGCUUAACACAUGCAAGUCGAGGGGCAGCAUAGGGUAGCAAUACUCUGAUGGCGACCGGCAAACGGGUGAGUAACGCGUAUGCAACCUACCCUGUACAGGGGGAUAACCCGGAGAAAUUCGGACUAAUAUCCCGUAAUAAUAUCCGGAGGCAUCUUUGGAUAUUUAAAGUUCCGACGGUACGGGAUGGGCAUGCGUAACAUUAGCUGGUUGGUAAGGUAACGGCUUACCAAGGCUAUGAUGUUUAGGGGUCCUGAGAGGGUGGUCCCCCACACUGGUACUGAGACACGGACCAGACUCCUACGGGAGGCAGCAGUGAGGAAUAUUGGUCAAUGGGCGCAAGCCUGAACCAGCCAUCCCGCGUGCAGGAAGACGGCCCUAUGGGUUGUAAACUGCUUUUCCAGGGAGAGAAACUUACGCACGUGUUGCGUGACUGACGGUACCCUGGGAAUAAGCAUCGGCUAACUACGUG